AACGGUUAUGAAAGAUGAAGAAGAAGAGAGUUUGGGUUUUUUGGGGAUUGGAUGUGAGCCGUUGAUGUCUGUGAUUGAACGGUGGUGAUUGGUGUUGUUGGAAGCCAUUGAAUUAAUUAACGGUGGUGAUUAUUGAGAAUUUUUUUUGUUGAGAAAUGGAAGGAAGAAAAGAACAUAAAGAAAGAAAGAAAGAGAAGAGAAGAGAUCUGAAAGUUGAUAAUGAGGAAGUGAGUGAGUGAGUGGAAUUGAAAAGGCUACAGUUAGUUAGGUUAGGGGGAAAUGAGGACAAGUGGGUGGGAUAAGCACGUAAUCACUAAACUACAAAACUCACUCACCUCCAAUCCCGUUAAAUUCAAUAGUUCCCAAAAAUUCAUAUUAUUUUUCUGGGUUCAAUACUAAAA
This 401-nucleotide long non-coding RNA is filed under the name Trifolium pratense (red clover). RNAcentral's name for it is "long non-coding RNA (TPRA_LNC002832)". Lineage: Eukaryota; Viridiplantae; Streptophyta; Magnoliopsida; Fabales; Fabaceae. The record is from RNAcentral.